Molecule: ribosomal RNA, 540 nt
Filed under: uncultured bacterium
Lineage: Bacteria
Description: bacterial SSU rRNA
Rfam family: Bacterial small subunit ribosomal RNA
Source: RNAcentral
UGAGGAAUAUUGGUCAAUGGACGUAAGUCUGAACCAGCCAAGUAGCGUGCAGGAUGACGGCCCUAUGGGUUGUAAACUGCUUUUGUAUGGGGAUAAAGUCAAUCACGUGUGAUUGUUUGCAGGUACCAUACGAAUAAGGACCGGCUAAUUCCGUGCCAGCAGCCGCGGUAAUACGGAAGGUUCGGGCGUUAUCCGGAUUUAUUGGGUUUAAAGGGAGCGUAGGCCGGAGAUUAAGUGUGUUGUGAAAUGUAGACGCUCAACGUCUGACUUGCAGCGCAUACUGGUUUUCUUGAGUACGCACAACGUUGGCGGAAUUCGUCGUGUAGCGGUGAAAUGCUUAGAUAUGACGAAGAACUCCGAUUGCGAAGGCAGCUGACGGGAGCGCAACUGACGCUGAAGCUCGAAGGUGCGGGUAUCGAACAGGAUUAGAUACCCUGGUAGUCCGCACAGUAAACGAUGGAUGCCCGCUGUUGGUACCUGGUAUCAGCAGCUAAGCGAAAGCAUUAAGCAUCCCACCUGGGGAGUACGCCGGCAACGGUG